Long non-coding RNA from Crotalus tigris (Tiger rattlesnake), 2383 nucleotides. RefSeq lists it as uncharacterized. The record is from RefSeq and is a predicted model, not a curated record. Lineage: Eukaryota; Metazoa; Chordata; Lepidosauria; Squamata; Viperidae. The transcript has 4 exons.
GGGCAGAACCGCAGGCGGGUUAAUCAGGUGAGUAGCCGGGGACUGAAAAGAAGCCGAAGCCGGUUUUUUUGCUAGGAAAGUCUACAACACCAUGCAGGGACAUUGCAAAAUCUUUACACACGCCUCCUUUCACUGGGCUUCCGCGACCUCAGCCGGAGAAGGGGGGAGAUGCUGGUCCGAGGCAGCCCGAGCCCCCCUCCUCCAGCAGCUGCCUGGGGAUGGGUAAGCUUCCCUGCAGGAUAGGGCCCCUUGAAACAGCUGCUCCGCAUCAGGCGGAGCGGCUGGGGAGGGGAAGAAAGGCGGCGGUGGGCAUCCGAGGGAUUCGCGGGCCUCCCUGUUUCCUUGGUAGAGUCGAGCCGCACUCAGUCUGACCCAGGACGUCACUCUGCCUGUCUGUUUUCUCAAUGAUAACUUGGCAGGAGAAGGGAAAAGCUGCGAUCUUUUCCCUCCUUCGCACUGAGAUCAUGGCUUGUUUCCUGUGUUCAGAAAGAAGUUCAUGCACAAUGAGCUAAUCAUCAGAAGGACCAAAUAAUGGACAAAGCCAGAUGACACCCAAUGGAAGAAUGGAUUUACUGAGACAAAUGCUUACUGUUUCUCAGAAUUAGUAGAUGCUCUACUGGGUUUACAAAAAUAUUGGAUUAUGACACUUUGACUCUGAACUGACUUCAAAAUAACUGAUAUACUUAAGGGGAUGCAGACAAGAAGUGGAUUAAACAGCUCUUAUGUUCUGUGGAUUAAUGUAAAAGCAGAAUCUAACUAUAAUAUUGUAGAACCUGUAUGAAAAAUAUACAAUUCCCCUACAGCCAACAAAUUUCCUAUCUGAGUUCCUGUAAACUGGUGAUCUUAGCAUUAAAAAUAAAAUGCAAUGUUAUAGAGGGUAACACUACGAAAAAUAGGGUAAAAAAAGUGAGCUAAUGCUUAUGUUUUGCUUCCAAUGAAGGCAAAAAUAAAACUGAAAGCAGGGGAAAUAUAGGAUGAGAAGAGGAAAGAAAUAAUAGCAUGUCAUAGAGAGUUACAAAUGACAUGUCAAUAAAACAAAUUAAGUAAAUAUUAUAAUGUUGAUGCAAAGACCUGUAAUAUCAUCAUGGUUUCUAGUUGAAGCUAUAUAAUAUGAACGUCAAAAUUUAUUUUAUUGUAAGUCUAGAAAUAUCUUUAGAAACUAUGUUAAGGAGAAGAAGAAGGUAUUCAUAAGUCUGAUUCUAUCCUGUCAUAUUUUAUAUCAAACAAUGUCCCAAAGUUGCUUUUUCAAAAGGCAACUGAACUUUUUUUGUUUUUGUAUGAAGAUGUUUCGCUUCUCAUCCAAGCGUAGAACCACCCAACACUGAAGAAGCUUCUUGGAUGAGAAGCAAAAUGUGUCCAAGCGAAACCAAAGAAAUUCCAGUUGCUUUUUGAAAAAGCACCUUUGAAACAACCACAAUCUAGAUGAUUGAGAAUCUCCACAGACAUACAAAUAUGAAACAAUGAUUUUCUAUUACAUCUUUUAAUUGUAACAUUAACGCACAUAUCAUUAUUAGAAAAAAAUACUAUUCCGAUUGAUUAUGAUUAUGUGCUGUGAACUUGUGUUGACUUUUAGCAGCAAGUAAGCAUCUGCAUUGGGCAGCAGUGAUAUAGGAAGAUGCUGGAGGCAAAUAAGAAUGAUAAAGACUAUAAAGGCAAAAGUAGAAUCCAGAGAUAUUUUUAUUCUGCUUUUAUCUGAAUGAAAUAUUAACCUUAUUAUUUUCAUUAAUCUGAAUUUUCAUUAAUCUGAACCUUAACAUAUUUCAGAAAAUCAGUGGGACUGAUUUUGAUUUACUAUGGCUAAGAUUGUGUCCAAACUCUGGUUAAAAGCUGUGGAGGAUUAAAAUUGCAUAAAAAAGUUUCCAAAAGUUUGCCGCAUUUACUAUGCACAAAGGAACCAUCUAACAGCAAAUCACGAUCUAAGAACAAGCCAGGUAGUUGCUUCAUCUCACUUCCUUAGCAGUGUUGUCAUUGCUAGAGAGCAAACAGCACAAAGAAGCAAUUUUAACUAUGCCGUGAAGAUUGAGUAAAAAGGCACAAAGCACUGGCAACCAAGAUGUGAAAGGAAAAUGUAGACUGUUGUGCAGAUUAAAACAAUGAGAUAAUAAGUUGAAUGCAGCAACAAUUAUAUUAUGCUAUACAUAGCAAAGUGAUGUAAUAUAGACAAUUUAUUGCUGUCACCUUUGUAAUGUCUCAUUCCUGCUUUGCUUUAGUCGGUUUAUAGAUUAUAUGGGAUAAAAAUAUAAUUUCAACCCUGGAGAAUUUUCGAAUAAAUGACCUCAUACUUGGAAUGUCUAACUGGAAACGGAAUGGUCCCAGUCCCCAGAAUCAAUUAGGUGUUUGAUAUAUCUCACCUUCUGUUACACUGUCCAAAAAAUUAAAUAAC